AUUUGUAUUAACUAGACUGAUGUUGAGAGGUGACUUAGCCAUCUUUAUACAUUUUAAAGACAAAAUUCCUAUUUAACUGUUUUAUUCAUGUGCUGUCUUGGCUCAUAGAAAACAGUUUCAGUAAGUGUGCUAAGGAAAUAGUGAUAAGCUCAGCCUCUGUAGGCAGUGCAGGUCUAUUAUGUAUACCAUUAAGAAAGAGUUUGAGGAAUGGCAAUACGGCUCAGUAGUAAAGAAUCUGCCUGCCAAUGCAGGAGACACAAGAGACAUGGGUUCCAUCCCUGGGUCAGGAAGAUUCUCUGGCAUAGGAAAUGGCAACCCAAUCCAGUAUUCUUGCCUGGAAAAUUCCAUGGACAGAGGAACCUGGUGGGCUACAGUCCAGCGCGGUGCUAAGUCACUUAAGUCGUGUCCGACUCUAUGUUAUCCUAUGGACUGUAGCCCACCAGGCUCCUCUUUCCAUGGGGUUUUCCAGGCAAGAAUACUGGAGUGGGUUACCAUUUCCUUCUCCAGGGGAUCUUCCCGACCCAGGAAUCAAAUCCACAUCUCUUACAUCUCCUGCAUUGGCAGGCGGGUUUUUUUUUUUUUUAAACAACUGGUGCCACCUGGGCUGCAGUCCAUGGGUUGCAAAGAGUCAGACAUAACUGAGCAUGCACACAUAUGGAUACCUCAACAAAAAAUCAGUUGAAGCAGCAAUUAAAUGCCCCAUGUUAUGAGACUGGGCAGUGAGUCUGGCAUUAGUUACCUGAAGAGAGAAAGUAUUAAAAUGUCUUUUUUUAUUUUUUAAACCAGAGAAAACCAAAAUAAAAUGACACUUCUAAAUACAUAUAGACACAAAAACUAACAGAGGUGGAACAAUAAAGUCAGGAUGCUGAGACAGCAACUCGUUCCUCUGGCAGAUGUUUGUUGGGUCCAGGACAGUGUUAGGUGCCGUGUGUACAUCUUGGAUGUCCUGCCUUCUGAGACCUAACAGGAUACAGGACACCAGGGUAGACACGAACAAAGAAGCAGGGUGUGAUGACUUGCAGCACCGCAGAGACCACUGUGGGUGCAGGAAGAACAGGCAGGACCUUGUGCAGUUUCAGAAUGAAUUACGGUGACAAACUGUGUUUUCUGCAUCACUGAUUCUCUUGACUAUUAGAUAUUCAUAUUUACUGUGGAGUUCUUAGGUGGAUUGUCUCACCAUGUAUUUAUGAGCUUUUAAUCCAGCAGGACCUGGUCAGCGUGUGAAUAACUGAGGAUGGCCCCUUGCUAUGCCGGCACAUCAGGAGCCACUGCAGGUGGAGAAGAAGAGUGGAAUUCUGAGAGGCCAUCCAUUCCUUCCUGUGGGCCAUGAGAUGCUGCCAGAAAGAGUGUGUGCUCCUGCUCCAGGCUCGCCUGAGCACCUCCUGAUUUGUGCUGCCUCUUCAGAUCAGGGCCGACGCUCCCAGGCUCCAUGUGUGUGCUUAUCCAGCGCCCUCAGUUGAGCUUUUGGCUUAAUGGGGUUCCUUUGGCUACAGCAAGAGCUAAGCCACUUGACUUGGGCUUGGUGCCCGCACAUUCUUGCUCUAUGCAGACUCUGAAUAGGUCACUCAACUUUUAUUACACUUGGAGGAAAAUAACUACAAAUCUGAAAAAAAAAAAAAAAAAAACCUUGAAAAACUGAAAGCUGAUGUGUUGAUGGGCGGGUACACUUUUAUUGCUCGUCUCCCUCCUGG
Long non-coding RNA from Bos taurus (domestic cattle), 1691 nucleotides. The record is from Ensembl. Lineage: Eukaryota; Metazoa; Chordata; Mammalia; Artiodactyla; Bovidae.